AGACCCGAAACCCGGUGAUCUAGCCAUGGGCAGGUUGAAGGUUGGGUAACACUAACUGGAGGACCGAACCGACUAAUGUUGAAAAAUUAGCGGAUGACCUGUGGCUGGGGGUGAAAGGCCAAUCAAACCGGGAGAUAGCUGGUUCUCCCCGAAAGCUAUUUAGGUAGCGCCUCGUGAAUUCAUCUCCGGGGGUAGAGCACUGUUUCGGCUAGGGGGCCAUCCCGGCUUACCAACCCGAUGCAAACUGCGAAUACCGGAGAAUGUUAUCACGGGAGACACACGGCGGGUGCUAACGUCCGUCGUGAAGAGGGAAACAACCCAGACCGCCAGCUAAGGUCCCAAAGUCAUGGUUAAGUGGGAAACGAUGUGGGAAGGCCCAGACAGCCAGGAUGUUGGCUUAGAAGCAGCCAUCAUUUAAAGAAAGCGUAAUAGCUCACUGGUCGAGUCGGCCUGCGCGGAAGAUGUAACGGGGCUAAACCAUGCACCGAAGCUGCGGCAGCGACGCUGAUGCGUUGUUGGGUAGGGGAGCGUUCUGUAAGCCUGCGAAGGUGGCCUGUGAGGGUUGCUGGAGGUAUCAGAAGUGCGAAUGCUGACAUAAGUAACGAUAAAGCGGGUGAAAAGCCCGCUCGCCGGAAGACCAAGGGUUCCUGUCCAACGUUAAUCGGGGCAGGGUGAGUCGACCCCUAAGGCGAGGCCGAAAGGCGUAGUCGAUGGGAAACGGGUUAAUAUUCCCGUACUUGGUGUUACUGCGAAGGGGGGACGGAGAAGGCUAUGUUGGCCGGGCGACGGUUGUCCCGGUUUAAGCGUGUAGGUGUGUGUUCCAGGUAAAUCCGGUUCACUUUAACACUGAGGCGUGAUGACGAGGCACUACGGUGCUGAAGCAACAAAUGCCCUGCUUCCAGGAAAAGCC
This 910-nucleotide ribosomal RNA is filed under the name Salmonella enterica. RNAcentral's name for it is "partial 23S ribosomal RNA". It matches the Rfam family "Bacterial large subunit ribosomal RNA", at positions 711 to 1619 of the family's 2925-position model. The record is from RNAcentral. Lineage: Bacteria; Pseudomonadati; Pseudomonadota; Gammaproteobacteria; Enterobacterales; Enterobacteriaceae.